UGGCAGAGGGAACUGUUAAUGAAUGACUAUUGGAAACUCUAGGCAGACGCUGCGUUGAAAUGCUUACUCGCCUGUGAUUAAUGACUACUAGGCUGCUGUAAUAGGUACCACUGGGACCUCAGACACUGGCACCUUUUUAUAGAAUAACCCCAAAAGCCGAGAGAUGAAGUCCCAACUAUAGUACCUCUUCAAGUAAAGAAAGCAAAACCUCUCAAAGUGGCCCUGUGUGAAGGUACAGUCAUAAUCCUAAUAGACUCCAGCCCAGACAAGCGUCCAGCUGGUUCCAAUUGGAAGCAAUCAGGGAGCAGUAUUUAGAGGAGUGGAUUCCCUGAGACGGACGCCAGUCAGUUAAAAUCCAACAUAGUGCUUUGCAGUCUCCAAGCCGGUUCUCCACUCAGUCUUCCUGGAUCCAUCCUCGAACGCUCACCUGCCUGUC
Long non-coding RNA from Cyprinodon tularosa, 436 nucleotides. RefSeq lists it as uncharacterized. Lineage: Eukaryota; Metazoa; Chordata; Actinopteri; Cyprinodontiformes; Cyprinodontidae. The record is from RefSeq and is a predicted model, not a curated record. The transcript has 3 exons.